This is a long non-coding RNA of Lagopus leucura (white-tailed ptarmigan), 2695 nucleotides long. RefSeq lists it as uncharacterized. NCBI's taxonomy places the organism in Eukaryota, Metazoa, Chordata, Aves, Galliformes, Phasianidae. The record is from RefSeq and is a predicted model, not a curated record. The transcript has 9 exons.
CCUUGAAGGUGUGUGGCAGCUGAAUGGGGUUAGUUCAAGGAGAGUCCAUCUCCUGGCGGAAGGCUUCGAAUCCUGCCAUCAUCUUUGUCUUGUUGGAGGAGAUGCAGCAAUGAGGUGGGGCUGUGCCGAAGGAUACUUUGUGAGCCAAGGGGAGCUCAGAUGACCCGAGAUGCAGGCUUUUUGGUUUUCUGCGGUUGGUGGCUGUAGAGAAGUUGUAGAAGUACGUUUUCUAUUUUGACUUUGGAGUAUGCAGUUGAAGAUGGAACUUGUGCAGUGGGUGUGCAUGCACUGGAUGGUAUCAAAAGCCUGUAAGAGUUUAGGUGACUGCAACAAGAAAAGAGUCUGGCCAAAGGAUCCACCCUCAAGCUUCAGUGGAUUAGGACUUCCACUGUAGAAGUAGAUGGUAAGGGUUACAGCAAGGAGACUGACUUCACACGAGUGAGAAGAAAACUGGCACACUUUAUUAGCCUCUGGUUGUUUUGGUUGACAAGUACAAUGCUGUCUUUGCUGAUCUGCUUCUUGUGCGUACAUAAAAAUUUCCAGAAAGCCCCCAACUUUGCAAAAGGGCUCCCCAUGCAAGUGCAGGAGUGUGGACUUCUGCAGUAGUUGUUCUCCUAGUACCUGAACAGGAAAGUGCUUGGCUCUGGGGACCUUAGCUGUGAAGAAGAAUUCCAAAGAGGACGCCUGCUGCUCUGUUGCUCUCCAUGCUCUCCGGCCAAAGAGUCCUUCUAAGAAAAAAGCCCCAAGAUGACAAAAACCCUUUUGAAAAGAAGAUGAGAAAAAACCUUGCCAAGUAUCCUGUCUUCAGGGUUGAGUUCCAUUGAAACCAGCCAGUGAAGGACAGCAGAACCGGAAUGGGCCUUGUACUGCAGCUCAGGUCGCGGUCACCUGCUGUAUGCAACUUCAAGGCAAUGCAUUUCAUAGCGUGCUCCGUGCUUGAUAAGCUCACAUUUGGUUAGCAGGCUCAGUGGGAUGGAUUUCUGUGACACAGAGAGGGAGUGAACGGGGAUCUUAACAGCACGUGGCAAAGAAAGGAGGAAAGAAGCUAUUGGAUGAACGCCCAGAAGUAAAAGAAGAAUUUGUGACAAUCAGAAAAAAUCUGUCUUGCACGCUUUCAGGAGCUACAGAUGAUAAAUGAGAGCUGAGGAAAAACUAAGAAGAGCUCACAACAGCUCCGGGUUCCUGAGAACCUGAGAAGAUGAUGAGGAACUCCACAGAUUUCUACUUGAGCUGUGUUACCAAAGCUCGUAGUGAUGACAACUGCACUGUAAGUAAUAAUCCAGGCUUCUCCCAGGUGCUGAUGGAUUCUAAAUGCCCUCCCUGUUCACAGAAGAACGUUAAGUGACAAAAGAUGGUCAAAUGAAAACCAUCUGCUCAAAGCAGAGUUAUGACAAAAAGAAAAUUCUCAGGAUAAAUAAAAGAUUAGACUAAUGAAAAUGAGACUGGCUUAAUUUAAUAGCGUAACAGCUCCAAUGUGCAUAAAAUGGUUAUGCCUGCACAGUUAGGUCUGCAUAAUGGUACAUGUGCCAUAAAGAUACUUUAGCUUAAAUAGUCCUCUGACACCUAUGUAAGUUUAUUGAAGAUGUGCGUUCAGUAUCUGACGGCAGACUUAAUUAUGCUUUCAGCUAGAAGUAUUCAGGCUGGGAGUAGGCAAUUUAGAACUUGCAAAACUAUUUUUAAAGCUCAUGUUAAGUUUAUGGCAAGUGAUAGAGUCAAUUUAAAAAGGAGAGGGAAAGUUAAACAAACAAAUAGUAGUAGAUACUUUCAGGCACAGCACCAUGUGAAAAUGACACUAGAUGUACUGUGACAGGAAGGACUGAUGUAUUUUAACAAGAACCCAGGUCUUCAGAGACACCUAAACACCAGCACACGGUUGAUUUGAGUAUCUUGAGCAUUAUGAAACAACUGCUUUGUGUUACCUUCUACGGGCAACCACUCUACUAGGAUGCAGUGUUGUGUGACUCCAACUGCCACAGCUUGUACUACUUAUUUUCUUCCUUCACGUUUAAAAGGUUACUGUGCAUGAAGACACAGUUCAAAGAGCAUAAGCUAUUUUUAGAGAAAUCAGUCUUUCCUGUGACUUUGCACAAAAGGCUUGCCUUUUGAUUAUGUACUUCACUUAAAGAUGUGAAAAAGCCGCUCCCAAAAACUGCAUUUUUCCAGGGCUUACUUUUCAGUAGUACUACUGUGAGCUUAAUUUUAAACAAUUAAAUUUCUGUUUUUGACAACAAGAAGUAGGCAGGAAUAGUGACAUGCUCCUGUUUUCCCCUGGUCUGUUCCAGGAAACUUUGCUGGGGGCUUGUCCACACUUGCUGACAGUUUUAGCUGUUCUAUUUUCUUUAAACACCAUCCAAAUGACAUGUAGAAUCUGAUUUAUUUUUCCUACUGCUAUUUUUUCAUUUAUAUUCCUGAGCAACGCAGCCAGCAUGGGGAAAAAAUCAGAGAGCAAGUCAAGAGGACAUGUACCUGGAAGACUUUUCCCAUGUAUCAUGUGUUGGAAGGAUCAGAGAGACAAACACCAGUAGCCUGCAUAGCUGCCACUAUUCUGAGUUAUAACAUGACGCUUGAUUCAAGCGCAGCCAACGACAAUCUCAGAGUGGUACCUUCUCCAAGAAUAAAAAUAUAGAGUGGUAAAUUUAAGCAAGAGCUCUGCUCGCUACACCCAUUUCAGCCAGAAAAACUGCAACAAGUUAUU